AUUGAACGCUGGCGGCAGGCUUAACACAUGCAAGUCGAGCGGGGGAAGGUAGCUUGCUACUGGACCUAGCGGCGGACGGGUGAGUAAUGCUUAGGAAUCUGCCUAUUAGUGGGGGACAACAUCUCGAAAGGGAUGCUAAUACCGCAUACGUCCUACGGGAGAAAGCAGGGGAUCUUCGGACCUUGCGCUAAUAGAUGAGCCUAAGUCGGAUUAGCUAGUUGGUGGGGUAAAGGCCUACCGAGGCGACGAUCUGUAGCGGGUCUGAGAGGAUGAUCCGCCACACUGGGACUGAGACACGGCCCAGACUCCUACGGGAGGCAGCAGUGGGGAAUAUUGGACAAUGGGGGGAACCCUGAUCCAGCCAUGCCGCGUGUGUGAAGAAGGCCUUAUGGUUGUAAAGCACUUUAAGCGAGGAGGAGGCUACUCUAGUUAAUACCUAGGGAUAGUGGACGUUACUCGCAGAAUAAGCACCGGCUAACUCUGUGCCAGCAGCCGCAUAA
Molecule: ribosomal RNA, 500 nt
Filed under: uncultured bacterium
Lineage: Bacteria
Description: partial 16S ribosomal RNA
Rfam family: Bacterial small subunit ribosomal RNA
Source: RNAcentral